RNAcentral lists this ribosomal RNA (468 nucleotides) under uncultured bacterium. RNAcentral's name for it is "partial 16S ribosomal RNA". It matches the Rfam family "Bacterial small subunit ribosomal RNA", at positions 28 to 507 of the family's 1533-position model. The record is from RNAcentral.
GACGAACGCUGGCGGCGUGCUUAACACAUGCAAGUCGAACGGAAAGGCCCUGCUUUUGUGGGGUGCUCGAAUGGCGAACGGGUGAGUAACACGUGAGUAACCUGCCCUUGACUUUGGGAUAACUCCAGGAAACUGGGGCUAAUACCGGAUAGGAGCUCCUGCUGCAUGGUGGGGGUUGGAAAGUUUCGGCGGUUGGGGAUGGACUCGCGGCUCCUCAGCUUGUUGGUGGGGUAGUGGCUUACCAAGGCUUUGACGGGUAGCCGGCCUGAGAGGGUGACCGGCCACAUUGGGACUGAGAUACGGCCCAGACUCCUACGGGAGGCAGCAGUGGGGAAUAUUGCACUAGGGGCGGAAGCCUGAUGCAGCAACGCCGCGUGCGGGAUGACGGCCUUCGGGUUGUAAACCGCUUUCGCCUGUGACUAAGCGUGAGUGACGGUAAUGUGUAAAGAAGCUCCGGCUAACUACGUG